This is a non-coding RNA of Triticum aestivum (bread wheat), 135 nucleotides long. The record is from Rfam. NCBI's taxonomy places the organism in Eukaryota, Viridiplantae, Streptophyta, Magnoliopsida, Poales, Poaceae.
CAAAUACUCCCUCCGUCCGGAAAUACUUGUCAUCAAAAUGGAUAAAAGGAAAUGUAUCUAGACGUAUUAUAGUUUUGGAUACAUCUCUUUUUAUCCAUUUUGAUGACAAGUAUUUUCGGACGGAGGGAGUAGAAA